RNAcentral lists this long non-coding RNA (1581 nucleotides) under Olea europaea subsp. europaea. Lineage: Eukaryota; Viridiplantae; Streptophyta; Magnoliopsida; Lamiales; Oleaceae. The record is from RNAcentral.
GCUAUGUCUACUCAAUUCUUUCUUCAGUUUCUUCUUUUCAUCAAGGUACAAUUGAUAUAUAUCUUUUGCCACUGUAACUCUUGAAGGAAAUUCAAAUGUUGGAAAAAAAUACUUUGUAUAUAAUCGAAAACCUUCAUCUUGUACAUGUCUAAAUGGUAACUCUGCCAAUAAGAAGUACUUAGCAAUCAUUUCUCUAGUCCCUUUUUGAAUGAACUUAACAACUUGUCCAGAACUAGUAAUGCCUUCUAAAACAUCAUUUUUAGAUUUAGUGUAAUAACACACAGUCUUUUGCUUUUUCUCUGGAAUCCUAUAUGGAUAUUUCUUACAUAAGCACUCAAUAUGGUUUCGCAAUGUACUAGUCCUUGCAUUUUUGUUGCCAUACUUGUAAAGUUGCCCACAGUAAAUACACUCUGCCUUUUCAUCAUGCAGUUUAAAAUGAUCCCAAACAUCAGAUCUUUUACCUCCCUUUUACCCUUAGUGGAAUCUGGGUAUUGAUCAACUUCUACACUAUCAACAGCUACAUUUGGCUCAAGAUAAUUUUCUUCUUCAGAAAGGUCAACAUGAUCCAUAUUUGUGAUUCUAACAAUAGCAGAUUAAAAUAUAGAUAUGUCAAUAUGUCAACAGGGGCUAAAUCUUCCCCCUGAACAACAAUAAACCAAGAUACGCAGUAUAUAGCUAGCGUAGUUGAAUUCCUAUAUCAUCCAUAAGAAACAAAAUUGAAGUAAAACAAACUAAAAAUCAGAGGCGCAUGUGUGUGAUUUAAAAAAACAUUAUAUUGUCUAUGCAUGUAUAUGGAUAUAAAUAGCUAAGAAAUUGAAUUAAUCAGUGUUUAAUUUUUUCUGAAAGAAUACUUGAUUACCAAGUGGAUAUCUACUUGUGAACUUGGAAGCCCAGCUAGAGUAGUAAUUAUUUUUUGCGACCAGGAGGUUGCAUUUAAAUGUAUACUAGUGAAACAGAACAUUCUCUUGAGCAAAAGGUAGUUUCCAAAUCCAAUACGGUGGCUAUUCUUAUUUCUCUGCAUAAACAUGGUAACGACACCCCAACUCUUCGAUCAUCCACUAGUACAGGUAAAAAUAGGUCUAUCUGCUAUCAAGAGGAAAGAAGUGUGUUCAAUUUGAUUAAGCUCUUAACAAGCAUGAUAACAGUACCUCAAGAUCAUGUCUAAAACUAAGAUCUAAGCGACACACAUGCUGUACUAAAAACCUUGACCAAUUAUCUAAAUAUCCGUGGCCAAUUUCAGACAGAUUCAAUAUAUUUAACAUGCAUAAGAUCCAAGGUGCUUGAGCUAAAAUUUGUUUUAAACUAUUAAGCAUAGAAAUCCCUAGUUUCUUCCUCUUAAAAUAGACUUUCCAUUUCUGAUAAUAACAUCUUAGCAUCUGUCAUUAUUGUAAAUCAUUAGCCGUGCACCACAGAGAAACAUGCAAUCAACAGAAGAUGAUGAUUCAACAUAAUUUCUAUGUUCAGCUAACAGAUUAUCUCUAAAAACAUGUAAUCUAAAGGAAAUACGAUUAUAAGCAACAAUAGUAAGAAAAAUUACCUUUGAAACCCCAAGAGAAAAGGAAAAUCUAGAUGAGCCAGUAU